UGGCCCUGCAGCUAGGACAGGCUGUUUUAGAUGAUCUUCUCAUUCCUUCUUAUUCCUUCGCUGGGGACACAUUGUUUGAUGUAGAUACAGUGCAGCGAAUCAUGAUGAAUUACCUACAAUCUGAAGAUGAAAAACAUUCAGCCUAUAAUGCAGAUGAUGAAUAUUUUUCUCCUUCCCAAAGUGAUAUUUAUGGGAUUGGAAAGCUAAUGGAGAACUACCUGGCUGAAGUAGCCACCGACAGAAAUUUAGUUGUUUCAAAAUUCAUCACUCUUGCUGAACUAAUUCCUCAACAAUCAAG
RNAcentral lists this long non-coding RNA (298 nucleotides) under Vigna radiata. RNAcentral's name for it is "long non-coding RNA (VRAD_LNC007033)". Lineage: Eukaryota; Viridiplantae; Streptophyta; Magnoliopsida; Fabales; Fabaceae. The record is from RNAcentral.